Long non-coding RNA from Solanum pennellii, 709 nucleotides. RefSeq lists it as uncharacterized. The transcript is spliced from 2 exons. The record is from RefSeq and is a predicted model, not a curated record. NCBI's taxonomy places the organism in Eukaryota, Viridiplantae, Streptophyta, Magnoliopsida, Solanales, Solanaceae.
CCUUAUAUAUGCAGAAAACACCAUAACAAGACUAGUUCCUCUCAUUUAUAUAUUUCCAAGAAAAUUUCAAAAACUCUUUGCUAAUGGCUUUUUCAGGUAGCUUAGUGCUCAAAACCAUGCUAACAUUUCCCACCUUCAAGCCAUAUCUACACAAGACAAUAAUAGCCAUGAGAUGCAUGGCUACAACAAGGAGGCCACCACCAAGGCCACCCAUAAAAACUAAACCACCACAAAACAAUAUUAUCAAAGACAAGAAAGAGAAUGCGAUGAUAGAGGAGAAGAGUAACAUAAAGCUACAACAAGAUAAUUCCAUGGUCAAAGCAAAUUAGUUUUUAGGAAUAAUCUUGUUUGUCAAAGAUCAUAAAUAAGCUGUUUAUACUUGGUCAAAGAAUAAAUGCAUGUUUUUGUUAUUAGGGAAACUAGUAGCAGCGAAGUGCUCCAUUAGUUUAUUCCUACCAACAUAUAUAAAGUAAUACGUAUAUAUGUUUGAUAUUUUAUUUACAUGUAGACACUUUUCAAAUCCUCUUUUGAAUAUAACCAAUUCUGAAAUCUAUGAAAUUGGUUAUUUCUCACAAGUAGAAGCCGAAAAGUGACAAGUGAUCGUUUCUAUCGUUCUUGUGUUGUCCUUUAGGUUUCUUUUUUCUUUUGGUUAUCCUGUUAGGGAUCCUUUGGUUUAUUUAUAAAAUUAUAUACAAGGGAUUGUUUUAUA